UACAGAGGGUGCGAGCGUUGUCCGGAAUCACUGGGCGUAAAGGGCGCGUAGGCGGCUGGGUAAGCGUGUGGUGAAAGCCCGGGGCUCAACCCCGGGUCGGCCAUGCGAACUGCCCGGCUGGAGCACGGUAGAGGCACAUGGAAUUCCGGGUGUAGCGGUGGAAUGCGUAGAGAUCCGGAAGAACACCGGUGGCGAAGGCGGUGUGCUGGGCCGUGGCUGACGCUGAGGCGCGACAGCGUGGGGAGCAAACAGGAUUAGAUACCCUGGUAGUCCACGCCGUAAACGAUGGGCACUAGGUCCUUGGGGGAGCGACCCCGUGAGGGCCGGCGCUAACGCAUUAAGUGCCCCGCCUGGGGAGUACGGCCGCAAGGCUG
Molecule: ribosomal RNA, 374 nt
Filed under: uncultured bacterium
Lineage: Bacteria
Description: bacterial SSU rRNA
Rfam family: Bacterial small subunit ribosomal RNA
Source: RNAcentral